CUCGUAGUUGGACCUGUGUUCCACGCUGUCGGUUCGCCGCCCGUCGGUGUCAACUGGCAUGUCCUGUGGAACGUCCUGCCGGUGGCGGUCCGGGCUUUCGGCUUGCGUAAGGGCUCACGCCCGAAGCAGGUCGGACAGUACCGGCCGCCGGUCCAAUCCCGCCACGGUGCUCUUCACCGAGUGUCGAGGUGGGCCGGCACGUUUACUUUGAACAAAUUAGAGUGCUUAAAGCAGGCUGGUGUCCGCCUGAAUACUGUGUGCAUGGAAUAAUAGAAUAGGACCUCGGUUCUAUUUUGUUGGUUUUCGGAACCCGAGGUAAUGAUUAAUAGGGACAGGCGGGGGCAUUCGUAUUGCGACGUUAGAGGUGAAAUUCUUGGAUCGUCGCAAGACGAACCUAAGCGAAAGCAUUUGCCAAGUAUGUUCUCGUUAAUCAAGAACGAAAGUUAGAGGUUCGAAGGCGAUCAGAUACCGCCCUAGUUCUAACCAUAAACGAUGCCAGCCAGCGAUCCGCCGAAGUUCCUCCGAUGACUCGGCGGGCAGCUUCCGGGAAACCAAAGCUUUUGGGUUCCGGGGGAAGUAUGGUUGCAAAGCUGAAACUUAAAGGAAUUGACGGAAGGGCACCACCAGGAGUGGAGCCUGCGGCUUAAUUUGACUCAACACGGGAAACCUCACCAGGCCCGGACACCGGAAGGAUUGACAGAUUGAGAGCUCUUUCUUGAUUCGGUGGGUGGUGGUGCAUGGCCGUUCUUAGUUGGUGGAGCGAUUUGUCUGGUUAAUUCCGAUAACGAACGAGACUCUAGCCUGCUAACUAGGCGAUUCCGGUACCCACAAUAGUGUUACCGGCGAUUCAAUUUCUUCUUAGAGGGACAGGCGGCUCCUAGCCGCACGAGACUGAGCAAUAACAGGUCUGUGAUGCCCUUAGAUGUCCUGGGCCGCACGCGCGCUACACUGAAGGAAUCAGCGUGUCUUCCCUGGCCGACAGGCCCGGGUAACCCGUUGAACCUCCUUCGUGCUAGGGAUUGGGGCUUGCAAUUGUUCCCCAUGAACGAGGAAUUCCCAGUAAGCGCGAGUCAUAAGCUCGCGUUGAUUACGUCCCUGCCCUUUGUACACACCGCCCGUCGCUACUACCGAUUGAAUGAUUUAGUGAGGUCUUCGGACUGGUGCGCGGCGAUCGGUUUAUACUGCCGGCCGCCGAUGUUGCUGGAAAGAUGACCAAACUUGAUCAUUUAGAGGAAGUAAAA
RNAcentral lists this ribosomal RNA (1241 nucleotides) under Mahanarva rubripennis. Its description in RNAcentral is "SSU rRNA". It matches the Rfam family "Eukaryotic small subunit ribosomal RNA", at positions 627 to 1787 of the family's 1831-position model. Lineage: Eukaryota; Metazoa; Arthropoda; Insecta; Hemiptera; Cercopidae. The record is from RNAcentral.